AUGCAGUCGAGGGAGACCCCGCAAGGGGGGACACCGGCGAACGGGGUAGGAUCACCUCGGUGACGUACCCUCAGGACGGGGAUAGCGGCGGGAAACUGCCGGUAAUACCCGAUGACCUGGCGGGCUUUUAAGGCCUGUCAGCAAAGGUGAGAUUCCGCCUGAGGAGCGGCUGAGGCGCUAUUAGCUUGUUGGUGAGGUCACGGCUCACCAAGGCGACGAUGGCUAGGGGGUGUGAGAGCAUGGCCCCCACCACUGGCACUGAGACACUGGCCAGACACCUACGGGUGGCUGCAGUCGAGAAUCUUCGGCAAUGGACGCAAGUCUGACCGAGCGACGCCGCGUGCGGGAUGAAGGUCUUCGGAUUGUAAACCGCUGUCGGGAGGGAUGAAGUGCCGGAAAGCUAUCUUUCCGGUUUGACAGAGCUCCAGAGGAAGCACGGGCUAAGUUCGCGCCAGCAGCCGCGGUAAUACGAACUGUGCGAACGUUAUUCGGAAUCACUGGGCUUAAAGGGUGCGUAGCGGUUUGUUAAGUCAGUGUGAAAUCCCCCGGCUCAACCGGGGAACAGCGCUUGAAACUGGCAGACUGGAGUGAGGCAGGGGUGUGCGGAACUUCCAGUGGAGCGGUGAAAUGUGUAGAUAUUGGAAGGAACGCCGGCGGCGAAAGCGGCACACUGGGCCUUGUCUGACGCUGAGCACGAAAGCUAGGGAGUGAACGGGAUUAGAUACCCCGGUAAUCCUAGCCGUAAACACUGAGCACUGGAGGGGGGGGGGCGGUUCCGGCCUUCC
RNAcentral lists this ribosomal RNA (785 nucleotides) under uncultured bacterium. RNAcentral's name for it is "bacterial SSU rRNA". It matches the Rfam family "Bacterial small subunit ribosomal RNA", at positions 55 to 842 of the family's 1533-position model. The record is from RNAcentral.